GAGGAAUAUUGGUCAAUGGACGAGAGUCUGAACCAGCCAAGUAGCGUGAAGGAUGACUGCCCUAUGGGUUGUAAACUUCUUUUAUACGGGAAUAAAGUGAGGUACGUGUGCCUUUUUGUAUGUACCGUAUGAAUAAGGAUCGGCUAACUCCGUGCCAGCAGCCGCGGUAAUACGGAGGAUCCGAGCGUUAUCCGGAUUUAUUGGGUUUAAAGGGAGCGUAGGCGGACGCUUAAGUCAGUUGUGAAAGUUUGCGGCUCAACCGUAAAAUUGCAGUUGAUACUGGGUGUCUUGAGUACAGUAGAGGCAGGCGGAAUUCGUGGUGUAGCGGUGAAAUGCUUAGAUAUCACGAAGAACUCCGAUUGCGAAGGCAGCCUGCUGGACUGUAACUGACGCUGAUGCUCGAAAGUGUGGGUAUCAAACAGGAUUAGAUACCCUGGUAGUCCACACAGUAAACGAUGAAUACUCGCUGUUUGCGAUAUACAGUAAGCGGCCAAGCGAAAGCGUUAAGUAUUCCACCUGGGGAGUACGCCGGCAACGGUGAAACUCAAAGGAAUUGACGGGGGCCCACACAAGCGGAGGAACAUGUGGUUUAAUUCGAUGAUACGCGAGGAACCUUACCCGGGCUUGAAUUGCAACUGAAUGAUGUGGAGACAUGUCAGCCGCAAGGCAGUUGUGAAGGUGCUGCAUGGUUGUCGUCAGCUCGUGCCGUGAGGUGUCGGCUUAAGUGCCAUAACGAGCGCAACCCUUAUCGAUAGUUACCAUCAGGUUAUGCUGGGGACUCUGUCGAGACUGCCGUCGUAAGAUGUGAGGAAGGUGGGGAUGACGUCAAAUCAGCACGGCCCUUACGUCCGGGGCUACACACGUGUUACAAUGGGGGGUACAGAAGGCAGCUACACGGCGACGUGAUGCUAAUCCCGAAAGCCUCUCUCAGUUCGGAUUGGAGUCUGCAACCCGACUCCAUGAAGCUGGAUUCGCUAGUAAUCGCGCAUCAGCCACGGCGCGGUGAAUACGUUCCCG
This 1017-nucleotide ribosomal RNA is filed under the name uncultured organism. Its description in RNAcentral is "bacterial SSU rRNA". It matches the Rfam family "Bacterial small subunit ribosomal RNA", at positions 356 to 1376 of the family's 1533-position model. The record is from RNAcentral.